GAUGCGGGAGGUAUACAUACACAGACUAUACAGGGGACUAUCACUCAGCCAUCGAAAAGAAUGAAAUCUUGCCAUCUGCAAUGACGGAGCUAGAGUAUACGAUGUGAAGCAAAGUGACGUGGUAUCUAGAAUUUAAAGUACUCCAGCACAACCCCAAGCAGUCAGUGAGGAGGAACAGGCAAGACAAGAGUGACAGCAUCGACUCUUCUCCCUGCCCAGCAUGCCAUUCUGUGAGCUUCUGGAACACAGAGACCACGUCUGUCACACUUGGACCCCUGGAAUCUAGACACCACAAAACAAGCUAAGAUGGUGAUCAAGAUGAUGGGAGAAUACAGAUUCCUUUGCCAAAGACA
Molecule: long non-coding RNA, 353 nt
Organism: Leopardus geoffroyi (Geoffroy's cat)
Lineage: Eukaryota; Metazoa; Chordata; Mammalia; Carnivora; Felidae
Exons: 3
Source: RefSeq, a predicted model, not a curated record